GUGAGUCAUCGAAUCUUUGAACGCACAUUGCGCCCCUUGGUAUUCCAUGGGGCAUGCCUGUUCGAGCGUCAUUUGUACCUUCAAGCUUUGCUUGGUGAUGGGUGUUUGUCCAAUCUUCAGAUUAGACUCGCCUUAAAAUUAUUGGCAGCCGGCAUAUUGGCCUUUGGAGCGCAGCACAUUUUGCGAUCUAAGCCUGUAUACUGGUAUCCAUGAAGCCUCUUUAUCACUUUUGACCUCGGAUCAGGUAGGGAUACCCGCUGAACUUAAGCAUAUCAAUAAGCGGAGGA
RNAcentral lists this unclassified non-coding RNA (287 nucleotides) under Setophoma sp. RNAcentral's name for it is "partial contains 5.8S ribosomal RNA, internal transcribed spacer 2, and large subunit ribosomal RNA". The stretch from base 1 to 71 matches the Rfam family "5.8S ribosomal RNA", at positions 84 to 154 of the family's 154-position model. Lineage: Eukaryota; Fungi; Ascomycota; Dothideomycetes; Pleosporales; Phaeosphaeriaceae. The record is from RNAcentral.